GGCCUAUACCGGAUUAGAGAUAGUAUAGAGAUAAAAAGGUCUUUAGAAGGUCAAAUAGACAGGACUGGAUGAUUUGGUGUUGGAGCAGAGGGGAAAGAGUGAGGGAGAUCAAGAAAUCAAGGCUGACUCUGUGAUUUGGAGUUUGACGGUAAGGCCAUUCACCAGAAUAGGAAACAAAAAAUAAGAGACGGUUGGUGGAGGAAAUGAAUCUGGUUUUAGAACACUAUGACUUUGAGGUAUCUGUAGAACAUUUCAGAAGGUAAUUCCAUUCACAGUUCUAGAGCCUAAGAGAGAAUUCUGGGUUUUACAGAAGUCCCUGGGACAACGGCCAUACCUGGUACAUAAGUUCAAGUGAGAAUAUCCAGGGAGAAUGUAUAAGACAAGAAGUUUCUCACAGCAGAAAACAUGCCACUUGCACCCCGUUCCAGCACCCUGGAGAAAUGAGAAGUCAUAGGUCAAGACAGAAGAGAAUUAACAAAGGGGCAGAAAGCAAUGGAAUAUUCUUUAGAGUUUCUUUCACCGUGCAUUCCUUGCAGAAAGUGGAAAAGUUUUCCAAGUUAAGAAGAGGAGAAAAGAGACCACAGAUUCAAAGAUAUGUUUGAUAGACAGUUCCAGAUCCUGCCAGCACAGCGGCCCUCAUCAUUCCUGAUAAAAUGUUCGCCCAUCCUUUUAUUUUCUCAGAUGCCAACAGUGACUCAAGCCCCCAGCAUUGCAUGAAGUUUGCUGUGGAAAUGCUGAGCUCUCCACAGAGACCCGGGGCCCAGAAACAUAAUUAAAGGCCUUUAUCAAUUUUGCUAUCAUCUUGUCCUAGUUUUGUAGAAUACUCUUGAUGAAGGCAGAGAACAGCAGUAAGUAAUUAGUUUCCUCUCCCAGAGAAUUAUGUGGGAAUAGGAAAUCACACAGGAGCAAAUCCAUAGAAGCAAUCCGUCCUGUGGUCUCGGAGUCCUAAGAGCUCAGUCAUUUUCUGUGAGAGGAGGGAGGCAAGUCAGGACUUUCACAGGAUGCCUG
Mustela erminea (ermine) is the source of this 1008-nucleotide long non-coding RNA. RefSeq lists it as uncharacterized. The transcript is spliced from 3 exons. Lineage: Eukaryota; Metazoa; Chordata; Mammalia; Carnivora; Mustelidae. The record is from RefSeq and is a predicted model, not a curated record.